This 497-nucleotide ribosomal RNA is filed under the name uncultured bacterium. RNAcentral describes it as "partial 16S ribosomal RNA". It matches the Rfam family "Bacterial small subunit ribosomal RNA", at positions 28 to 507 of the family's 1533-position model. The record is from RNAcentral.
GAUGAACGCUGGCGGCGUGCCUAAUACAUGCAAGUCGAGCGAACAGACGAGGAGCUUGCUCCUUCGACGUUAGCGGCGGACGGGUGAGUAACACGUAGGUAACCUACCUAUAAGACUGGGAUAACUUCGGGAAACCGGAGCUAAUACCGGAUAAUAUUUCGAACCGCAUGGUUCGAUAGUGAAAGAUGGCUUUGCUAUCACUUAUAGAUGGAGCUGCGCCGUAUUAGCUAGUUGGUAAGGUAACGGCUUACCAAGGCAACGAUACGUAGCUGACCUGAGAGGGUGAUCGGCCACACUGGAACUGAGACACGGUCCAGACUCCUACGGGAGGCAGCAGUAGGGAAUCUUCCGCAAUGGGCGAAAGCCUGACGGAGCAACGCCGCGUGAGUGAUGAAGGUCUUCGGAUCGUAAAACUCUGUUAUUAGGGAAGAACAAACGUGUAAGUAACUGUGCACGUCUUGACGGUACCUAAUCAGAAAGCCACGGCUAACUCCGUG